RNAcentral lists this ribosomal RNA (253 nucleotides) under uncultured bacterium. RNAcentral describes it as "partial 16S ribosomal RNA". It matches the Rfam family "Bacterial small subunit ribosomal RNA", at positions 524 to 776 of the family's 1533-position model. The record is from RNAcentral.
UACGUAGGGGGCAAGCGUUGUCCGGAAUCAUUGGGCGUAAAGCGCGUGUAGGCGGCUAGUCAAGUCCGCUGUGAAAACUCGAGGCUCAACUUCGAGCUGUCGGUGGAAACUUUCUGGCUAGAGUCCGGAAGAGGAGAAUGGAAUUCCUGGUGUAGCGGUGAAAUGCGCAGAUAUCAGGAAGAACACCCGUGGCGAAGGCGGUUCUCUGGGGCGGUACUGACGCUGAGACGCGAAAGCGUGGGGAGCGAACAGG